Molecule: ribosomal RNA, 517 nt
Filed under: Blastobotrys sp. JCM 16824
Lineage: Eukaryota; Fungi; Ascomycota; Dipodascomycetes; Dipodascales; Trichomonascaceae
Description: eukaryotic LSU rRNA
Rfam family: Eukaryotic large subunit ribosomal RNA
Source: RNAcentral
ACGGCGAGCGAAGCGGCAAAAGCUCAAAUUUGAAAUCUGGCGUUUUUCUUAAGCGUCCGAGUUGUAAUUUGAAGAAGGUAACUUUGGAGAUGGCCCUUGCAUAUGUUCCUUGGAAUAGGAUGUCAUAGAGGGUGAGAACCCCGUACAUGGUGAGGUGAUCCAUCUCUUUGUAAAGUGCUUUCUAAGAGUCGAGUUGUUUGGGAAUGCAGCUCUAAGUGGGUGGUAAAUUCCAUCUAAGGCUAAAUAUAGGCGAGAGACCGAUAGCGAACAAGUACAGUGAUGGAAAGAUGAAAAGAACUUUGAAAAGAGAGUGAAAAAGUACGUGAAAUUGUUGAAAGGGAAGGGCUUGACAUCAGACUUGGCUUGUGGUGAUCAGCUGUCUUUCGGGACUGUGCACUCGCCACUUGCUAGGCCAGCAUCAGUUUUGGCGGUAAGAUAAUGACAGUUGAAUGUGGCUCUGCUUCGGUGGAGUGUUAUAGCCUCUGUUGAUGUUACCAGCCGGGACUGAGGACCGCGC